RNAcentral lists this transfer RNA (72 nucleotides) under Dallia pectoralis (Alaska blackfish). Its description in RNAcentral is "tRNA-Ile". The stretch from base 8 to 64 matches the Rfam family "tRNA", at positions 8 to 63 of the family's 71-position model. From Rfam's summary of the family: Transfer RNA (tRNA) molecules are approximately 80 nucleotides in length. Their secondary structure includes four short double-helical elements and three loops (D, anti-codon, and T loops). Further hydrogen bonds mediate the characteristic L-shaped molecular structure. tRNAs have two regions of fundamental functional importance: the anti-codon, which is responsible for specific mRNA codon recognition, and the 3' end, to which the tRNAs corresponding amino acid is attached (by aminoacyl-tRNA synthetases). tRNAs cope with the degeneracy of the genetic code in two manners: having more than one tRNA (with a specific anti-codon) for a particular amino acid; and 'wobble' base-pairing, i.e. permitting non-standard base-pairing at the 3rd anti-codon position. Lineage: Eukaryota; Metazoa; Chordata; Actinopteri; Esociformes; Umbridae. The record is from RNAcentral.
GUUGGUGUAGCUCAGUGGUAGAGUGCAUGCUUUAUAUGUAUGAUGUCCUGGUUUCAAUCCCCAGAUUCUCCC